This 489-nucleotide ribosomal RNA is filed under the name Saproscincus mustelinus (weasel skink). RNAcentral's name for it is "partial 16S ribosomal RNA". It matches the Rfam family "Bacterial large subunit ribosomal RNA", at positions 1914 to 2612 of the family's 2925-position model. The record is from RNAcentral. Lineage: Eukaryota; Metazoa; Chordata; Lepidosauria; Squamata; Scincidae.
GAAGCACAUUUUAACGGCCGCGGUAUCCUAACCGUGCAAAGGUAGCGUAAUCACUUGUCUUUUAAAUAAAGACUUGUAUGAACGGCUAAAUGAGGGCAGACCUGUCUCUUGUGAUCAACCAGUGAAACUGAUCUUUAAGUACAAAAGCUUAAAUAAACACAUAAGACGAGAAGACCCUGUGGAGCUUAAAACAACACUAUUACACCCAAAAUAGCAUAAGUUUUAAGUUGGGGCGACUUCGGAAUAAAAUAAAACUUCCGAGCACAGAGACAAGCCCUCUCCAUUAGACCAACAAGUCAAAGAAACACUGACCCAGUCACACUGAGCAACGAACCAAGUUACCCCAGGGAUAACAGCGCCAUCUUCUUCAAGAGUUCCUAUCGACAAGAAGGCUUACGACCUCGAUGUUGGAUCAGGACACCCAAAUGGUGCAACAGCUAUUAAAGGUUCGUUUGUUCAACGAUUAACAGUCCUACGUGAUCUGAGUUC